UACACCCAUAAAGCCAUCACCAACCAUCAAGGCCAUAGACACAUCUCUGACCUCCCGUAGUUUCUUCUCACUCCUUUAUUAUUAUUAUCACCAUUACUAUGUGUGUGUGUGUGUGUGUGUUUGCAUGUGGUAAGGACACUUGACAUUCCCUCUUAGCAAAUUUCAAGUGUACAAUAGUUUCCCCCACCGUUCAUAGUUUGCUUUCUGUGGUUUCAGUUACCCGUGAUCAACUGCAGUUUGGAAGUAGAUGAUCCUCUUCUGACCUACUAUUAGAAGGUCAGCAGUAGCCUAACACUGCCCCAUAAUGCUUAUGUCAUUCCCCUCACUUCAUCUCAUCAUGUAGGCAUUUUAUCAUCUCAUCAUAAGAAGAAGGUUUGUUGGCAUGGAAUAGAGAAUGAAGAGACACCUUUCGAACAGAGUGUGUCUAUACAAGCUUUGUCACAGGUCUGGAACCCAGUGGUAGGUCUAUAGAUCUGGAACACUCACCCCUGUAAGAAGUGUGUCCCAAUACUGAAAGACAUUUGGCUCCUCUCUAAUGUACCUGGACCAAAAGCAUACAUGGUUGGGGCACAUAAAAUCUACACCAGCUUCAGAAGCAUUACAGCCCAGAGUAAAGAAAUGUGGAGAGGCCCUCCUUUGUAAAGAGCUGCAUAUUCUGUAUGUCAGGAAAUCCCCUCACCUGUAGGAAGGUUGAAAAGGAUUUCCCAUCCACACUGAGUCUUCUCCAGCACCAGGUCAUUCCCAAUGAUGAUAAGCUAAACAAAAGCACCAAGUGUGCGGGGGCCUUUCAUGGUGGAAAAAGUCAUUGCAAGUCAUGUGAAUAUGGGAAAGCUUCUAGUCACAAACGCAGGUUUGUUUAUCAUCUGAGAGUCUCCACUAGAAAAAAGGACUUAUGAAUCUAGCAAAUAUGGGAAAGCCUUCCACUGCAAAUACUCACUUGUUCAACUUCAAAUAGUCCACACUGGAGAAAGACGUUAUGAGUGCAGUGAAUGUGGAAGUCUUUCAGGCAAAGAGCCACUCUCAUUAUACACUAGAGUUCACGCUGGAGAAAGGCCUUAUAAGUGUGGUGAAUGUGGGAAAUUCUUUUAUCCAAUGCCCCAACCUUAUUGAACACUGCAGAAUUCACAGUGGAGAAAGGCCUUCUGAGUGUGAAGAAUGUGGGAAAGCCUUUGGGCCAAAUCCAAUCUUGUGUCACACCAAAGAACUCACACUGGAUAAAAGCCUUAUGAGUGUACUGAAUGUGGAGAAUUCUUUAGACAAAGCUUCACCUUCAUUCAGCACCGGAGAGUUCAUACCACAGCAAGGCCUUAUGUGUGUAUGCAGUGUGGAAAAUCCUUUAGCCAAAGAGCCACCCUCAUUAGACCCAGAGAAUUCACACUAGUGAAAGGCUUUAUGAGUGUGGAGAAUGUUGGAAAGCCUGUGGAUCCAAGUGUAAGCUCAAUCGACAUAACAGAAGUCACACUGGAGAAAGGUCUUAUGAAUGUGCUGAAUGUGGGAAGUCUUUUAAUAAAGCUAUUGCCUUGUUGAACAGCAGUGAAUUCACACAAGAAUAAGACCUUUUGAAUGUGGCCAGUGUGGGAAAUGCUUUAGCAGGAGAGCCAGCUUCACUAAACACCAAAGAAUUCACACCGGAGAAAGGACUUAUAAGUGUGGUGAAUGUGGGAAAUCCUAGUAGGAGCACCAGCCUUAUUCAGCACUGCGGUAUUCACACGGGAGAAAAGCCCUAUGAGUGUGGCCAAUGUGGGAAAUCUUUUAGGCAAAAGUCUGUCUUCAUUCAACAUCAGAUAGUUCACACUGGAGAAUGGACUUAUGAAUGGAUCAAAUGUGGCAAAUCCUUUAGCCAACGUUCCAGUGUUAACUUCCAUGAAAUUCCAAAAAUUUCACACCGUGGAGAGGCCCCAUGAAUGCAUGAAAUACAGGAAAUCUUUCACUCCAGUGUGUCAUGUUUCAGACCAGAAAGUCCAAACUUGAGAAGAGUCUUAGAUUUAAGGAAAUGUCCUGUCUUCUUGUUCACUUAUGACAGCUCUAAACAGCUUCUAUGAGGGAGCCAUCUACCUGAAGUGGAGCCUCAUACUUCAAAAAACAUCUGGAGCGAUGAAGUUACCCAUGUGUUCCAGGCAUAUGUGAGGCUUCCAGGAGCUGUAUUGCACAUUAUGAACCCCACAGGGCUCUUGCCAGGCUCCUGUCAGUGCCAGUCUUGCUGGUAGAAGCUAUCUCACCUCGACCACUUUGCAUAGUGUGCAUCAGUCACCCUGAUGUGCUAAGGCAAGGCAGACAUCUGUGUUCUCAACCAGUCCCUGGUGGAAAUCUUGAGUAGUCUGUGUCCUAAUAGUAAUAUCAAUUUUCUUAAUAAGAACGAAUAUAAUCCAAUUUGGGCCAUAUGUGGGCUGUGCUAGAGGCUUGCCCAGAGGGCGUUCUGCAUGGAAAUUGGAAAUUGUUGAUUUCACAUAGCACUUGUAUUUGAUUUUUCUAGCCUCCAAGUCACCAACUGGUAACUGUGUGUCUCACAUUGAUCUGGGCUCAUGCAGUAAUAAAUGUCUUCUUAAAUCUA
Molecule: long non-coding RNA, 2551 nt
Organism: Manis pentadactyla (Chinese pangolin)
Lineage: Eukaryota; Metazoa; Chordata; Mammalia; Pholidota; Manidae
Exons: 2
Source: RefSeq, a predicted model, not a curated record